Cebus imitator (Panamanian white-faced capuchin) is the source of this 626-nucleotide long non-coding RNA. RefSeq lists it as uncharacterized. The transcript has 2 exons. The record is from RefSeq and is a predicted model, not a curated record. NCBI's taxonomy places the organism in Eukaryota, Metazoa, Chordata, Mammalia, Primates, Cebidae.
GUGAUCUGCCCCUUGGCCUCCCAAAGUGCUGGGAUUACAGGCAUGAGCCACCAUGCCCGGCUGAAACAUGUCUAAUGAAUUGACUUCAUUUUACCAUAAUGAGUAAAAGAUAUUAUAAAAACACUGAUAAUCACAGUGGUUUGACGUCCCUUUUCCCCCAUACACAUUAUUAGCAUAACUUUAAAAACACAGUACUCAGAAUGCCAUGUGAUGGAAUUAUAUAACCAGGAAUACGAUCUUCAGUAUUAAGCAUACAGUAGUGAGUCAACAGAAAAUAUUCAGCCAUAGAUUACAAAUUAAUUGAUAAUGUAAGUUGAUGUGGCAGUCUCCACCAAUAUUUCAGUUAGGUAUGUGCUGAUGUAUAUUCUUGUUCUUUAAAGCAACUCCAGAAGAGGCACUGGCCAACAGACUUCAGGGCUAAAGACAAAUUGGGUGUCUGAAUAACAACAAAGCUUGAAAUGAUGAUUUGAAGGCAAUGAAAGAUCAAAAAACUUGAGUCUGAAUAAAAAUUGAAAGCGUACAGUGAAGUCUGAGAUUAUCACAAAACAGAAUAGUGUAUUGACAUAUUUCCAGUCACCUGUUUAACAAAAUAUGCUUACCAGUAUGUUUGUGAUAUAGUUAUAACU